This 253-nucleotide ribosomal RNA is filed under the name uncultured Paracoccaceae bacterium. Its description in RNAcentral is "uncultured Rhodobacteraceae bacterium partial 16S ribosomal RNA". It matches the Rfam family "Bacterial small subunit ribosomal RNA", at positions 524 to 776 of the family's 1533-position model. Lineage: Bacteria; Pseudomonadati; Pseudomonadota; Alphaproteobacteria; Rhodobacterales; Paracoccaceae. The record is from RNAcentral.
UACGGAGGGGGCUAGCGUUGUUCGGAAUUACUGGGCGUAAAGCGCACGUAGGCGGACCAGAAAGUCAGAGGUUAAAUCCCAGGGCUCAACCUUGGAACUGCCUUUGAAACUCCUGGUCUUGAGUUAGAGAGAGGUGAGUGGAAUUCCGAGUGUAGAGGUGAAAUUCGUAGAUAUUCGGAGGAACACCAGUGGCGAAGGCGGCUCACUGGCUCGAUACUGACGCUGAGGUGCGAAAGCGUGGGGAGCAAACAGG